RNAcentral lists this long non-coding RNA (532 nucleotides) under Malus domestica (apple). Its description in RNAcentral is "long non-coding RNA (MDOM_LNC011244)". Lineage: Eukaryota; Viridiplantae; Streptophyta; Magnoliopsida; Rosales; Rosaceae. The record is from RNAcentral.
GACACAUGAUCGAGCACAAUGGCGUUCUAAGAUUCAUAUAGCCGAUCCCACUCAGUGACUUGGAUUUUCCAAGUCUCCAACCGAGAAGUUUUCCUCACUCGGGAAAUUAAGGGAACACUACCCCAACCUACAUGCUCCACUCAGAAAGCUUCAACAUACAAGCUUUAACAAAAGAAAAUUCAAAGAACUUAGCGAAGAAGGCUUUGGUGUAUUUAACACAAUACGUUGAAAUGAAGGAAAGCUUAUUUAUUGAUAUCCCCCGAUAAGCUACAAAUAUGUACAUAUACAUGAGUCAAAAUAAACACACAAGAGGGAGCCUUCACAAAGGUUGCUUAGGAGAAGUCUCAGCAGUCGGUAGAGCCCCAGAAAAGAGAAGGCAUCGGAGGGGGAUCAUUUGGAGCCUCAGUACUGGACAGAACCCUAGAAGGAGAGGCAUCAGAGGUUGAUCAUUUGGAGCUUCAUUACGCGGUACAGCCCCAGAAGACGAAGGCAAUAAAUGCCUUUGGAACAAACCCACAAAUCUCUGAUGAUC